AGUUUCUUACUUUUCUUUUUGCUGGUGUAAUGUUUUGUAAUAUGAAUAGUGCAUCGGCUAUUCUUGAUCACAGUCAAAUAUGCAUCCUGUUUUACCUCAGGAUUGGAGCAUGCAGCUGCAUGCAUGCACAGGUUAGGAAACUAUUUCUGCUUUUUGCAUGCAUAAACAAUGUAAAAUGCAUAUUCUGACCAAGUCACAUUCUGGCUUUAUGUGAAUUUUGGCUUUAGCAAAUUAACUAACUAUGACUGGAUGAUGCCUUGAAACAACAUUUUAAAUUCAAUUUAAAUCUGACAAACUGUGUAGAAUUAAGUAACUUUUUAGAAACUGAUUUUUCACAUCUUAUUCAAUUUUGUAUACAUGUUUGCACAAACAGAAACAUUGUACCUGUGUCUAAAUGCGAAGGAAUGACAUCCAUUUUGCGGAAAGAAAGCCUGGUCACGUUUCUAAAGUGCUGCUUUUGACAUUCCCCUGUUUUACAUAGCAUUUCCUUUUGUGUAUUUUUCCUUAUGAUCCGAUCUUAGUUCCAUGAAUGUCCCCAAGUGGCCAAAUAUUUAUUUACUGAAUUAAUUAGAAUGCAUGUCGGUGCUACUAAGGAGCUGUUCUGACUUUUCUGCACCCAGAAUUGAGUUGAAACUAUCAGUACAGACAGAGCAUCUGCAUAGUGUAAUCAGUGGGUUGCCGGUUGAAACCCUUUGUUCCAUUUGCCUCAGUUGUUGUGUCUUUGAGCAAGACACUUCACCUGUCAUGCCUUCUGUUGUUGGUCAGAGGCCCUGGUAGCACCGAUGUAUUGCAGCCUCACUGCUGUCACACUGCACCAGGGCAGCUGUGGCUACAAUGUAGCUUGCUACAAUCAGUGUGUGUUGUGUGAAGAGCUUUGGAGGCCUUGGACUUGAUAAAGAGCUACACGAAUAAUGGCCAUUUAUCAUUUUAGCUUUUUUCUUAAAUUAAUUAAUUCCCGUAAAUAUUUGAGAAGUAGGGGGCACUAAACUUUUAGAAAUGUUCAAAUAAUCAUUAAGUAAAGAAAAUAAAAGAAAAUUACCUUACUUCAUCCUUACAUAGCAUCCUGUAGAUUCCACAUCUUUCAUUCCAAUAUCCCUCCGCCGUGGCACGGUUGUCCUUCCUUCAUGUCUUGAGCCUCUUUUCUACACACUUUUUGACAAACAGGUGACAACAUAAGGAAUAGUUUGACAGGAUCUUUACCUUUAUCAAAUGGGAUCUGGAGUUUUGUCAUGUUAGAUCACAGAAAAGAAAAGCCAGCCCAAAACAGCACUACAGAGGAUUUGUGACAAGCUAAAAUAAAAAUAUUAAAACUGAUCAUUUUAAUAGAUAUUUUGUAAUUUUUUUCAUUUUUAUUCACACUGUUCAUCUUUUCAUACACUGAUUAGGGAUUUAAUAGUCAUGUGUCUUGGCCUUCAGUAUACUACUUCUAGUUUCACUGCAUUUUUUUCUUGCACAGGUAUGUGCAUGCAGAUUUCCCUUCAUUUUGGUACAUACAUACAUUUAGAUGAAAUAUCAAACGAUAUUGAGGGCACUGCGAUCAGGUUGCAUGUCCUUGAGGUAAAGAGAAAAAGAGAACCAGUGUGUGAAACUGCAAAAUCAUCCUGCCUCAUUUUCAGCCUUCUCCCCAAUUAGAAACAACUAGCUGAGCAGAUAUGUUCACUUCUUUUAUUAAAAGAUUGAAAAUAGUUUGCUCUAUUUAGUUGAAAUUGCCAUGAAAAUGCCAUUUGGGCAGUUCAGGAAACUUAUUUCAGUUUUCCAAAAGAGUCUUGAAAAAACAUUGGACUGCACAUUAUUUCAGCUUCACAUCAGCUCACAAGUCUGACAAUGCUAGAAAAAAAUAGAUUUUCAUAUCAUAGUACUUGUUUCACCCACACUCGCAAGACAAAGCCAGCACUGACAGAUGUGGGUGUGCUCUUACUGUUCACUACAAACUUUUGUUUGAAAAGUUGACAUCUUUUCAACAUGCAUAUUUUCACAGACCAUAGCAAACGGUUUAUGGUAUGUGACCGGAUUUGAAAUGACCUGUGGGGCGUAAAAUGCAAAAAUCCUCUCCUGAAAACAGCAAGUGCUUUGUUGACAUAGUGACUCGAAUUGAAGUUAGCAGUGUGCUGCCUUACAAAAGAAUAGUAAAGAGUUGCAUUUAGUGGAAGACACUGAUUAAGCCUGAGCAGUGCGAGUGAAAGAUGGUAUUUAUAUACAACUGUUGUUUAUUGAUAUAUUAUAAAUGUCAAAAACAUGAUUUGUUUAGUCAGUUUUCAACAUUUUUACACUUUGUUUCCAUAUGGCAGCUAUAAAUGAUACAGCUAGUAGUUCAUUCUCUGAAUCUCUCAUAAGGAGCAGAUUUAGCUUGUAAACCAGGAGGAGGUCUGUAAGACAUCAGAGAACAGCACUGGCUAUAAUUUUUUAAUUGGAUUUUUUUGUUUUAGAGAUCACAUAUUUUGUAUCCUACUAUUUAGUGAUGACCAAUCUAGAUUUACAUGGAGAAAUCUGUCUCCUUGAAGUUCCUCGAUGUGACAUUUGCAGCUUGGACCUAUCGCUAGCAGGAUUGUCCUGCUCUUUGAUUAAGAAAGGAAACUAAGUUAUCCACAGGGUGUGAGAUGUACAGGGUUGCACAGUCACUGCACAUGUGGGAGCACUUAGAGUCAUAACAUUGAUCUGGAAGAUGUAGAAGCUAAACAAUUGCUGUGACAAUAACCAACACAUUUCCAGAGCAGUUUAUUUUAAAUGGAUUAAAUCGACUGGUAAGAAUCCUAAUCCAAAGUAUUUUCUGUUGUUUAUUUCUUUUAGAAAAUCAUGUUCAUGACAAAAUAAUGUAGUAUACCGCUGUAAUGUAACUGAAGCAUCCCUUUAAAUAUUUAAUGAACCUCAAGUUAUUCCAUCAUUGGGUUUCCCUGGGUUUGUGAAUGAUCUGACAGCUGCCAGUCUUUUGAAUGGGAAAGACAAGAAAACAUGAAAUUGAAGAUUUCCAGGACAAAUUGUGACUCCGGUGGUCAACAGGCCAUAGAGGGCCCGUUAAGUCAGAGCCAGGAUUGUGAAGAGUCGGAUGAAAGCCUUAACGUUCAGCAGUGUUGUGUUCAAGGCCACCUAACCCGAGACCAAGACAAGACCAAGACCAGAGUGUAUCGAGACCGAGACCGAUCUCGAGUACUACAACACUGACGUUCAGCAGCUUUAUGGUCAGUCAGGAAGCAAAAGGUUCCAGUUUGCAAUUUCCAACUACUCCAGUUUGAAAAUGUCCUUGUCAUUUCAUAAACAUUGAUACUUUUGCUUUAAAUAAUUAAUAAUGCAGGCAGUCAUGUUCUGCUAUCAGUAAUGCAUGUGAAAUAACAUACCGAAUUCAAAGCAGAAAACACCAGAUGUAAUCUGAUGCAACAGCUAAUGAUACUUUAGGCAAAUGAUGGAUUUUUACUCCUGGAUUCCAGCGUGAAAUCCAGUAUGAUGGUCAGAGAAGUUAAAAGUAUCAGAAGGCAUUAAGCUGCAGGUUCUUUCCUUUGUUCAUCUUUGCUGCACCUGCAAACCCACAGGUGGUCUCAGGCUCCAGUGAGCUACCAUAAGAAUCUGACUGCAGAAACAUCUUAGCAUAAUCAAUGUAGUGCAUGAGUCUGCAGUUUUUACUAAGAGAGAGUGAAGGAGUUUAUUAUCAAAAAAAAAAAAUCAACAUAAGGACAGAGGGGUGCAUGUAAAAUAUCAUACUGCACACAAAUCACAGUCCAAAAAUGUGGUUUUAUGUAGGGAUGUUGCAAGACUUUUCAGGUCGAACUAGCUUACCCUGAAGUUUUGUCCUUCUUCUGUCCUCCUCUUCCUCUCAGGCAGAGGAAACCAUUUCUUGAUUUCCUGGAAUGUUCGAUCAAUGAACUCCACAAAAUGUAAGAAUGGUUGAAAUUUCCCACUACUGAACUGAAAACAACCAGAGUAAAACUGCUGCUGGUAUUUAGAAAUCCAUUUCCAAGAAGCAAUGUUAUAUCAAAAAGAGAUGAUUGACUUUUUUUUUUUUUUUUUGCUAAACAUACUUUUAAAUCUGUAUUAAUCCAGGCACCGUCGCUGAGAGGAAGUUGAAUAACUAGAUCAUUUUUAGCUAUAGUUACUUUGUAGUAGGACAGACUGCACCUUCUAUAAAAGGGAAAGGUGUCGUCUGCGAUGAGACCAUUCAAUCAUUCAGACAUCAUUGCACUGAUUCUCAUAUUGGCAGUGAAGCUGACCCACGCUGACUAGUUAAAGUUACUGAAAAGAACCAUUAGAGAGUCUGAAUUCCCUAAAGACCACUCUACGGCUGUGCACUUUGGCAUCCUGUACUCUAUUUAGUGUAUCUGUGUUGUUCGAAUUCACUCUUUGACAUCCACCAAUGCAGCCGAGUUCUUCCCAUUGUUCCAGAGACAUGUUACUGUCUGUUGUGCGCGACUCAAAUCCUCCACCUACUGUGUACUUCUCUACCGCUGAACUGAAAGCCUGUCAACAGCCAUUAUUCCGAGCAAGACCUCUGCUGUGAUCCCUGCCAUGUUUCAUCGAAGUGUGGAAAUUUAUUCUAAAGCUCACUGUCUGAGCAUGUUAGCUACUACUAAAAUUACAGCAUGUGGGUGUUUGUGGGUGUUUUUUUGUGCGCGUCUACCCGCUUGCCGUCGUUCUGCUGCUUCCAGCUCUUGUCACUCCUGUGGACGAAUCCCUGCAAAAGCAGCUGAGUGGACGGGUUUCGAAGGCUCUAUUUCACAGUGGAGUCUGAAGGACUUGUGUGUUAGGGUGUGUGUGGUCAAACAAUUAGCACUGUUUGUCACCUUCUCACAACACAUCCCUCACACGCUGAUCUGAUUAAUGGAGUCCCAAUGGAUUGUCUGCAUAGCCUCUACAGUGACUAAAGCUAUGUCUGUGUCUCUGUUUGCAAAGGAUUGCAAAGUUGUUUUACAAUUUUUUUUUUCUUUUACCUUUUUGAUACUGCAGGUAUAUAGCCUGCAUAAGUGGCAGACAGAGUGUUUAUUUAGACAGAAUUACAUAUUUAACCAAAUUGUACUCAUACAUUUUGUUCUUCCACUUUUCUCAUUUAGACAAUUCCAGUUGGCAAAACUUACUCCAGAAACUUUUCCACAUUUUGUCACGUUACAACCAUAAACCUUAUGGGGUAAUUUGUAAUUUCGUUUAAUAUACCAACAGAAAGCACAACAUGAUUGUGAAGUUGAGGAAAAAAAAGAUACAUAAAAAUUGUGACUUGCAUUUUUUUUUUUAAUUCAACCCCUAUAGAUCUCAAUUCAAUUCUGAAAUGUCCAAAGAGUAUGGAUACUUUGAGACCAUGAAAUAAGUGGAGCAUGAUUUUGAUCAAAUUGUUUGGCUUGGAUAAGGACUUCAACUCUGCAAAAAAAAAAAAAAAAAAAAAAAAAACUAAAAAAAAGUCACACACCCAACACCCAUGCGUGUGUCAUUUGAUCCCUCUCAUAUAUGUUCCUCUGGAUUUCUGAACAAGUCCUCCCCACUCAGGAUUUGCAUUUAAUUUUGCUUGAUCCUAAUCCUGACCAAAUCUUCUGAUGUGGAGCAGAAAUACAAAUUAGAAGUGCAUCAAUCUUUGUGACAUUCAAUUUCUAACACUGGGACGAUGCUUUCAUUUAAUAGUCUAGUUUUUCUGAGGGAGUUUUUUUUUUUUUAACCCCUUAAGCCACCCUUUGUGUCCCACUUCUUAUGUAAUUUUAGUUUGGCUCAAGUGUAUGUGUUUAAAAUGCUUGAUGUAUUUAACAGAAAAUGAAGAAAAAAUAUAUAUUUUAUUAGAAUGUCCUAGAACCAAGAAGUUUGCUUCUGAUGACAAUUCAUACCGACAUUCCUCAAAGCAUAACAAAACAAUGAGAAAGAAAUAGAAAUUAAAAUAAAAUCAUUUGUUUGUAUGUAUUUACAUUUAUUUUACAAAUGGCAUGCUGAAAAUGAUCUUACCUUCCUCAAGUAUCAAUGGAAACGUUUUGGCAUUAUGGCAAUCUUAUCAGAGCUAACAAGAUUUUUGUCAACAUAAAAAAAACACUUGGCCUUGCUGUCUGCAUUUAUGUUAAUGUUUACAAGUGUUGCACACUGUGGCUAAUUAUUUUUAUUACCUAAGAAGAAACAUAUGGCUCCUUAUUUUUUCAAUUUACCAGCUUCUCAAAAGGAAUGUUUUCGACUCCUGCCUGCGGUGCUCUUACUAAUGCUUUACUUGCUCCAAAAAUUAGAUAAAACUUCCUCUCCUGCUUUCUUUCGCUGACUCAAAGUUCUACACAUCUUUUAAUUACAAACCUCUGAGGCCAAAACGCGCUGCUCAAGCUGUUCCUUCUUGUUUGGUUGGCUGAGUGACCUGCAGACUGGAUUAGAGUCCAGCUGUAUCACAGCUUGAGAGAAGAGCAGCGGUGUUUUGUUUGUAGAUGAGCAAUGUGCUUCGUGUUCCUCUAAAACUUUACAGGCUGUCUCUGAGGAGACACGCUCCAGAACGGAUUUAGAAUUCAAGAAAGUUACCGACUGACGCGUUCGGUGUAGGUUAGCAUUGCUUCAAGGCUAUUGAAUAGUUCUCUGAAUAGCAAAUGCUUUUCACUUGAAGUCACUCCAACAAAUUCAAGGUGAGACGUUGGGACGUGUUUGGAGCAGCUGGAGAAAAGUUAUCUGUACAAUUGUUUUUGUUUUUUUUGUUUGUUUUUUUUUUUACAGAAUUUUCCCUUUUUUAUUUGUCUUGCUCACAGUGAAGUUCUGUCUUUUCAGCAUAUGCCCAUACUCCAGUGCUGUGUUCCCGCUUGCUAAUAAUGACUUUUGCUCUUGAGUCAUGACUUAGCAACAAGCCUGCUGGCCUAUUUUUGGUUUCAGGCAAUUAUCCGGAAUGCAGUGUGUUGGUGUGGUCCUGUGACACUUCCAGAUACAACAAAGAGAAAAGGUCUCUGCCCACAUCUGUCAAGUUUCAGACAUAAUAGCAUGUUAUUGAACGUGUAGACGGAAUGACACAUCUCACUUUCUGACAUGUUGUGAAAACGACCCAAAUAUAGAAACCAAAUCAGUUUUUAGCUGCAUUGGUUUGCAUAAUAUUAUCUGCUGCGGUUACUUGAAUGUAA
Long non-coding RNA from Poecilia latipinna (sailfin molly), 7040 nucleotides. RefSeq lists it as uncharacterized. The transcript is spliced from 2 exons. The record is from RefSeq and is a predicted model, not a curated record. Lineage: Eukaryota; Metazoa; Chordata; Actinopteri; Cyprinodontiformes; Poeciliidae.